UACGUAGGGCGCAAGCGUUGUCCGGAAUUAUUGGGCGUAAAGAGCUCGUAGGCGGCCUGUCACGUCGGAUGUGAAAGCCCGGGGCUUAACCCCGGGUCUGCAUUCGAUACGGGCAGGCUAGAGUUCGGUAGGGGAGAUCGGAAUUCCUGGUGUAGCGGUGAAAUGCGCAGAUAUCAGGAAGAACACCAAUGGCGAAGGCAGCUCUCUGGGACGGUACUGACGCUGAGACACGAAAGCGUGGGUAGCAAACAGG
This 253-nucleotide ribosomal RNA is filed under the name uncultured bacterium. RNAcentral's name for it is "partial 16S ribosomal RNA". It matches the Rfam family "Bacterial small subunit ribosomal RNA", at positions 524 to 776 of the family's 1533-position model. The record is from RNAcentral.